This 2113-nucleotide long non-coding RNA is filed under the name Mustela putorius furo (domestic ferret). RNAcentral describes it as "lncRNA (ENSMPUG00000026184.1)". The record is from RNAcentral. Lineage: Eukaryota; Metazoa; Chordata; Mammalia; Carnivora; Mustelidae.
NNGGGGGUAGCCCCGGGAGCCCAGGCGGGACGCCCUCUGGGCGCGGGCUCGCUGAUAAACCUUCAGUCUGGUUCAUCACUCGUGUCACAGGCCUAGUGACGUGCGUUCUAUUAUUAGCGUCACUUAGAGGUGAGGAAACAGGCUCCCCAAACUACCCGGUUACGUGCUUUCAGUCAAAUAGAAGGCAGAGCUGCGAAGUAAAUGCAGGUUUGUCUUGACAUAGCUUUGUCCCACUUCUCUCGGAUCAGCCUCUCCCGGCUUUCAAUCCAGCAAGCAGCCAAUAGCGCUCCCAGGGACAUCUGGGAACUCACUCACCCUUCUAACACUGGAGAGGGGACGCAGUCAUUUUAGGUCAGUACCCUCUCUGGCAGAUGAAAGAUUUAAUCCACUCAACGGGAAAAUCACUUACCCCUACCUUCAUCUAAUUAGUGACAGACGGCGAGCUAGGGGCCCUCUCUCUUGGAAGCGUGCAAGGGCUCUUGACACCUCACCUUCCUUUUCCUCCCAGAACCUUCAGAACGCUCUGAGGCCAGAACGUGACUUCCUCGGAGACCUGAGGACAGUGAUGUGGGCGGGGACCUCCGGGAAGGAGGAGGAAGUCAAGUCACCGGGUUCGCAGCUGUCCUGUCUGCCACCCGCUAGAAAGGGACCUAGCACCUCAGGCCUAGAACCAGCUCUACAGGCCUGGGCCUCUUUGCUGGCUGGGACUGGGCCCUUUUAGAAGAGCUGCAGCCCAGUGAAAGAUAAAGUUGUGUGUGUGUGUGUGUGUGUGUGUGUGUGUGUGUGUGUGUGUGUCUGGAGCCGGGGUUGGGGGUGUGUGGGGGGGGUUCUGACUGUGGAAUGUCCACAUUCAGUAUAUUAGGGUAGGAAGGAAUAUGCUGUUGGCUUUCACAUUUUCUCCUGGAUGGGACAGAGUCCUUCCAUGGCAAAUGAUUUCAGCGUCAGCACAGAAUUUUGAGAGGAGUUUAUCUUGAAAAGUGAAGCAUGCCAAUGCAAGUUUUCUAACAUUGCCAAAUCUUGGGAACUGUUUGGGAUUUAAAAUCACGGAGCACUGGAGGAGCUGUUUCCCCCUUCUAUGCCUCUAUUUUGUGAAAUGAGGCUAAAAUACCCAGACAGCCCUUUUUACCCUGGAAUUCUGGGACUAUGAAUGGCAUCUGAGAAGAGUUCCCUCCAAAGGGAAGUUGGACCACAGAAGGACAGGACUCUCUCCUUUGUAAACAAGGUCCUCCUUUUUUAAAUCACAAAAGUAAUUACUACUCAUUGUACACAAGUUAUAUUUUCCUCCCCGCCAGAACCAGAAAGAAGGUAAAACAAUUGAAAUCCCACACCCAGGAAACCAUUGUUAGCAAUUCAAUGUAGAGCAUUGAAUAAAUGCAGGCCGAAUACACUGCUUUUCCCCUUGAACAGCCUUUUUUCCUUGAAUGAAAUAUCAUGACAUGCCACUAAAUAUUUUCCAUAUAUGUUUUUUCCAUAUAUGUUUUGAAUGGGUAUGUAGUAUUCCAUUGUGCAUUUAUUUAGCUAAAGUCCAACUGAAGAAUUAAAAUUGUGCCCAGGUUUUUGCUAUUGAAACAGCAAUGAAGUGUGAACCUUGUAGCUAAAUCUGAGCACAUUCUCCAUUAUUUAUACAGGUAAAUUUCCUGGAUGUGGUGUUUCUGGGUCUAGGGAUAAAGAUUGUUCUACAGUAACCUCUUAAGUUUGAUUCCCUCCGCACCAUCCCCUCCCCACUCCAGUGCUUUCCCAGACUUCCUGUACCAUUUAUUCACCAAGAAUUUACUGAACACCCAUCACAUACCAGACACGCCUUGAUACAGAGAUGAAUACUUCAUAGCACAAGGUGCCAUAAAUGUCAGAGAAAGCUUUGGGUAGUCAUAUGCUCAGUUUGAGGAGGGUCAUAAAAAACCAGUUGAAUUUUUUAAAAAUUCAAUUUAAUAUACAUAUUAUUAGUUUCAGAGGUACAAUUUAGUGAUACAUCAUUUGCAUGUAACACCCAGUGCUCAUUCCAUCAAGUAUCCUCCUCAAUGCCCUUCACCCACGUACCCCAUCCCCUUAGCCCCUCCCCUCCUGCAACCCUUAGUUUGCUUCUGUAGUUAAGAGUCUCUUAUGGUUUGUCUCC